UACGGAGGGGGCUAGCGUUGUUCGGAAUUACUGGGCGUAAAGCGCGCGUAGGCGGACCUGCAAGUCGGGGGUGAAAGCCCAGGGCUCAACCUUGGAAUUGCCUUUGAUACUGGCUGUCUUGAGUUCGGGAGAGGUGAGUGGAAUGCCGAGUGUAGAGGUGAAAUUCGUAGAUAUUCGGCGGAACACCAGUGGCGAAGGCGACUCACUGGCCCGAUACUGACGCUGAGGCGCGAAAGCGUGGGGAGCAAACAGG
This 253-nucleotide ribosomal RNA is filed under the name uncultured bacterium. RNAcentral's name for it is "partial 16S ribosomal RNA". It matches the Rfam family "Bacterial small subunit ribosomal RNA", at positions 524 to 776 of the family's 1533-position model. The record is from RNAcentral.